ACCCGACUGCUAUCGGAUUGAGAUUUAGCCAUGCGAGUCGAACGUCCCCUGUUGCGGGGGGCGUGGCGUACGGCCCAGUAACACGUAGUCAACUGCCCUGGAGACAAGGACAACCCCGGGAAACUGGGAUUAAUCCUUGAUAGGUCAUCUCAUCUGGAAGGAGAGAUGGCUUAAAGGGGUACGCGGGCUUCUUCCGCGAAUCUGCUCCAGGAUGGGACUGCGUCCGAUCAGGCUGUUGGCGGGGUAAUGGCCCACCAAACCUGUAACCGGUACGGGCCUUGAGAGAGGUGGCCCGGAGAUGGACACUGAGAGAAGGGUCCAGGUCCUACGGGGCGCAGCAGGCGCGAAACCUUCGCAAUGCGCGAAAGCGUGACGAGGUUAAUCCGAGUGACUUCCGCUGAGGAGGUCUUUUGUCAGCUGUAAAUAGGCAGGCGAAUAAGGGGAGGGCAAGCCUGGUGUCAGCCGCCGCGGUAAUACCAGCUCCUCGAGUAGUCGGGGCGAUUAUUGGGCCUAAAGCAUCCGUAGCCGGUUCCGUAGGUCCUCUGUUAAAUCCAACCGCUUAACGGUUGACCUGCAGAGGAUACCGCGGGACUAGGAGGCGGGAGAGGCGGACGGUACUCCGCGUGUAGGGGUAAAAUCCUUUGAUCCGCGGAAGACCACCAGUGGCGAAGGCGGUCCGCCAGAACGCGCUCGACGGUGAGGGAUGAAAGCUGGGGGAGCGAACCGGAUUAGAUACCCGGGUAGUCCCAGCCGUAAACGAUGCUAGCUAGAUGAUUCAUUCGCAAGUCGCGAAUGAAGUGUCGCAGGGAAGCCGUUAAGCUAGCCGCCUGGGGAGUACGGUCGCAAGACUGAAACUUAA
Molecule: ribosomal RNA, 859 nt
Filed under: uncultured soil archaeon
Lineage: Archaea
Description: bacterial SSU rRNA
Rfam family: Archaeal small subunit ribosomal RNA
Source: RNAcentral